GACGAACGCUGGCGGCGUGCUUAACACAUGCAAGUCGAACGGAAGGGCCCUGCUUUUGUGGGGUGCUCGAGUGGCGAACGGGUGAGUAACACGUGAGUAACCUGCCCUUGACUUUGGGAUAACUUCAGGAAACUGGGGCUAAUACCGGAUAGGAGCUCCUGCUGCAUGGUGGGGGUUGGAAAGUUUCGGCGGUUGGGGAUGGACUCGCGGCUUAUCAGCUUGUUGGUGGGGUAGUGGCUUACCAAGGCUUUGACGGGUAGCCGGCCUGAGAGGGUGACCGGCCACAUUGGGACUGAGAUACGGCCCAGACUCCUACGGGAGGCAGCAGUGGGGAAUAUUGCACAAUGGGCGGAAGCCUGAUACAGCAACGCCGCGUGCGGGAUGACGGCCUUCGGGUUGUAAACCGCUUUCGCCUGUGACGAAGCGUGAGUGACGGUAAUGGGUAAAGAAGCACCGGCUAACUACGUG
This 468-nucleotide ribosomal RNA is filed under the name uncultured bacterium. RNAcentral describes it as "partial 16S ribosomal RNA". It matches the Rfam family "Bacterial small subunit ribosomal RNA", at positions 28 to 507 of the family's 1533-position model. The record is from RNAcentral.